AAGUUUUGGGUUGUUCACAGCAAUAGAUACUCAAGACACCAUCUUGGCCUUUGCUCUCAGCCUACCCCUUCGUGCUCCACACCCCAGUGAUAGUGAGAGGAGUACCAGAAACGAAGGGAUGGAAGAAUAGCAGCUGGAGGAGAAGAAUGGAGCAGAAAACAGCGAGUUCAAGAAGGAUUGGGAGAGAAUUUUUGAUCCAUGUGACUUCUGGUAAUAGAGGCCAAAACACAUGGACUCCUCAGACUAUCUGGUGGAACUAAGAGAGGAACUUCCAUUGAGAGGAAGAGAAGAAUUCCAACUACUUCUAAUUUAAAGAAUUAAUUUUCUGUAUGUGUGUCUGUAUGGCA
RNAcentral lists this long non-coding RNA (347 nucleotides) under Equus asinus (donkey). Its description in RNAcentral is "lncRNA (ENSEASG00005027239.1, ENSEASG00020026999.1)". The record is from RNAcentral. Lineage: Eukaryota; Metazoa; Chordata; Mammalia; Perissodactyla; Equidae.